Non-coding RNA from Sus scrofa (pig), 6954 nucleotides. Lineage: Eukaryota; Metazoa; Chordata; Mammalia; Artiodactyla; Suidae. The record is from RefSeq and is a predicted model, not a curated record.
CCCAACCUCUCCGCUUCGCCACUGAAAACACACGCCCUGGGAUCCCAGCCAGUCAGAGGAGACCUUAGCGAUUAAAUCCCCAGAGAGUCUGGAACACCCUCCCCUGCCAAGUCCAAAGUCCCUAAGGUGACCCUUUUGGCAUCGGGGGGGGGGGGGGCGUGUGUGUUGGGGCCCCACCUUCAGCCACCUCCCCCCCCCCACCCCCUGGCAGGGCGGGACACCGAGUAGGAAAACAAGAAGCUAAGCAAGGCCAGUGGCCUUAAGACCGGGGCCCUGCAGAGACACAGGAGCACCUGGCAGAAAGAGCUGGUCUUCGAAGAUGGAGCCGGGGGCGGGGGUGGGGGGCGCUGCCUGAAGCCUGGCACCCACCUCUUGGCCAGACUCACCCGGAUCCUGGAGCAGGAUGGAAAACGUUAUACGGUUUUAUGAAAAAUGACAAAAACGACGGGUGAAGGAUGCGGGUGCCAAGCCCCAUCGCGACACCUCAGUCUGGGCUGUGGAAGGCGAGGAGCUCUUACAGGGACCCAAGAUGUCACGGCCAAGUGCGUCUGGGAUGCCCUGGGCCUCUCGAAGUAAAAUAAAGACCAGCUUUAUCUGUAGCAGGCCUUGUUAGAGUCCGUACCUUGAAAUAGAGGCUCUAACUGGGGAAGGGGUCCCACACUUGGCCCCAGAAGCCCUUCGUCAUGCAGCUUCUGAUCUGGACACACAGCCAGGCUGGCAUUUGGGAAGCGUGCGGGCGCUCGCGAGGGGCCAGAGGAAGCAAGGAUGCUUAGGAUCUGCUCCCUGGACCAGCGAGGUCUCGGGAAUCCUCACGACAGCUACACGGAGGCCCUACCGCGCACCAGACACCAGGCCAGGGGCGCAAGGACGAGGAUGAAGGCAACCUGUCCCCCAGGCCCUCUCGGGCUAGGUGGACCGUGGAAGGUUCUGGACUUCGAGCAGACCUGCCCGGAGAAGCUCUCACCCCAAGAAGCAGAGGAGAGGGCUAAUGCCAGGUCCGGGCAGCAUGGGAUGCUGAGCCCAAAAGUUCCAACGUUAUCAUUUUUUUGGCCUCACCUGCAGCGGGUAGAAGUUCCCAGGCCAGGAACCAAACCUAUGCCACAGCAGUGACCGGAGCCGCUGCAGUGACAAUACCAGAUCCUUAACCCACUGAGCCACGAGAAACUCCAAAAAGUUCCAACUUUAGCCAUGGAGAAACCAGAGUAGUUUGUCUUCGAAAGGGAAGGACAUGAUGAAACUAGUUUUAGGAAAAUCAACCUGGCCAGAAAGAUAAAUAGGCAUGGGGAAGGCUCCAGAAGGCAGAGACCAACUAGGAGCUGAUGUAAUCCACCACCCAGAAUCUAGCCUUCUGUGGGUUAGGGAAGGGGUCUCAGAGCCAGGGGUCUGGGUACAGGAGAAGGGCCCACAUCCGGAGAGCGGAAGAAAAACAGGCAUCGAAGGUGCCCACUGCGCCCAGCCUGAGUAAGGAGGCAUCCAAGGAGGCCAAGACAGCGCCCGCCCACCAAGACGCCCCCAUUCGGUCUCUGCCAGGGAAGCAGGUGCACUCUGGGGAGAGUUCAGAGAGCUGGCCUUUCCCCCACAAAAGCAAGCUCAAGGACACACCUUGCUGUGAAGCCACCUUGCGGUGACAACAUCCCUGUGGCUCCCAUCAGAGAAUGCCUGCUCCUUUCAGGGCAGAGCCCAAGGUGGCAGCUGCUCGCAAGCGGCGAGUCUGGAAGGCAAACACCCCCCCACCCCACCCCACCCAGGCUCAGGUGUCCUGGCCCAGGCCAUGCACUUGGGCAGCUUUUAACGCCCACUGAGCAAUUUCUUGAGAGUUCUGCUUGGCAGGUACCGCCUCCCCACCUGGGUUAAUAGAGGGGUGCAGCCCAGGAAAGAAAUUAAAUUUGCCCACAUUUUGUUCUGGAAGGAACGAGGGGAGGGGAGCCAAUCAUUUAUGCAGUAAUUACGUUUGCCUUCAGGCCAGCACUGGAAGUUGCUGCACUAGCGCUGGCUUUGCAGACGCUGGCAGGAGCAAGAAAGCAGAAGUGUCCCAGGCAAUCCAGCAACCACGUCACCUCUGAAGCACUUCACAUGCAAAUGGGAACCCAAAGUGCAAAGACCAGCUCCAUCCCGGCGGCAGAUGAAUUUAUUUCCACAGCCAGAGACCAGCCUGCCCCUUGGACAGCACCUCUCAAGUCCAGCACUCUGACACCUGUUGAAGGUCACCAUUUACUGUCCCUGAUCAAGAGAUCAAAGGAUCGGACCUCACAGGCUAACUCUGAAGUUUUGCCCCAAAGAGUUAAUGCACAAGAAGAAUCAACACAGUUUUUGAAAAGAACAAUGAAGAGGUAAUUGCACAACUGACCUCAAAAUAGACUGUGAUGCUACAGAGGCUGAAACAACACCGGCUGGUACAGAAAGACACCUACAGGUCAACAAAGCAGAACAGAAGAUUCCAGUACAAAAAGCCGAGCACAUGGGGACACUGCCCGGCAAAGAGUGACAUUUUAAAAGAAUGAGGGUGUGAUGGGCCAUGCCAUCAAGGUGUUGGGACAACUCCCUCUCCACCUACCGGGGGGACCGUUCAGAUCCCUCCCUCAUCCCGUAUCCUCCCCCCAACUCAAAAAAAAACCAGACAAAAUCAUGCCUGAAUAUAAAACAACAAAAUAACAACAGCCCAGGAAGAAAAUAAAGAUGCAUUUAUAAUCCAGGGGUAGAGAAGGCAUGGAACUCAGAACCCCUACGGGAAAAGACUGAGUUUUCUUACCUGAAACUGUCUAAAGUCUUUAUGAUAAGAAACCACCAAAAAACAAGGGUGAAAGGAUAGCUCCAGACCAGAAGGAAAAUCCGGAACGAAUAUAAGAAUUAAUGUCCACACCAAAGAAAGCGUUCCCACAAAGCAAUAAGAAAAAGAUAAGCAACUCCAUGGGAAAACAGGCCAAGCAUGGGCGAUUUACAGAAAAUUGCCAAUAAGCUAGGAAUGAGAGAGGUGCAAACCAAAAUGUGUUAACUUUUUCUUUUUUGUCUCUUUAGGGCUGCACCCCUGGCAUAUGGACGUUCCCAGGCUAGGGGUCGAAUCAGAGCUACAGUUGCCGGCCGACACCACAGCCACAGCCACACAGGAUCUGAGCCUCGUCUGCAACCUAUACCACCGCUCAGGUCAACACCAGAUCCUUAACCCACUGCGUGAGCUCAGGGAUCAAACCCACAUCCUCAUGGAUAUGAGUCAGGUUCAUUACUGCUGAGCCACAAUGGGAACUCCGAAAUGUGUUACGCUUUUUAAACAAAUUUAUUUUUUAAAAACAGAAGUGUGAUACGCAAUGCUGGAGCGGGGAGAGCAGGUACCCUCCUAGAGGCCUGGUAGGGUGUAAGUUGGUGCGGACUUUUUGGAAGAAUUAGUUAUCAUCUUUGACAUUUUAUAAACAGACACACUCUCUGACAAGGAGGGCAUCCUACAGAAAUAAUUGAAUACAUGGGCACACAUACCGGGCAAUGCUGUUCAGUGUCAUGCAUUUAUUGUAACAGCAAUAAAGCCUGGAAAAACUUAAAUGCUACCAAGCCGGGUAAAAGCCAUGAAAUACGGUGGACCCAUACUAUGAAAUACUACUUAGGUUUUUUUUUUUUAAUGGAGUUUCCGUCAUCGUAGCGCAGCAGAAAUGAAUCUGACUAGAAACCAUAAGGUUUCGGGUUCGAUCCCUGGCCUCGCUCUGUGGGUCAAGGAUCCGGCGUUGCCGUGAGCUGUGGUGUAGGUCGCAGACACGGCUCGGAUCUGGCAUUGCUGUGGCUGUGGUGUAGGCGGGCAGCUGUAGCUCCGAUUCAACCCCUAGCCUGGGAACCUCCAUAUGCAAAAAAAAAAAGCAAAAAAUAAAUAACACAUUAAACUAUGUGUUGAAGGCGUGGUCAUCUCUGAGGAGAAAAACAAAACAGGCCAUAAAGGACACUGGUCUUUCCCAGAAAGAGGCACCAUGCGGUGAAAGUCGUUUCUAAGUAUUCGUGUAUGUUUUACAUUUAAAAAAUAGACUGUACCCCUUACACCCACUAGGACAGUGAGAACCCCAGAGAGGAAAAGUCACUCGUGUCAGCCAGGACGCAGAGGAACCGAGAGCCCCGUGUGCCGCGGAUGGGAAGGUAAACGGGUACAGCCGCUGGGGAAGCCAGUUUCACGAUGCCUCGGAAAUUGAGUACAGAAGGGCCACACUGAUCCAGCGACUCCACUCCGCGUGUGUCCACACACGUGGAAGCAGAGAUUCCAACAGACACUUGCACGCCCUUGUCCACAGUGGCCUCAUUCCCAACAGCCAGGGGCUAAAAGAACCCAAGUGCCCACUGCAGGCGGGUGGGUACACAGAGCAUGCACCCCUGUCCACACCACGGGAGGCCAUUCAGUCAGAAAAAGGAUGCAUGAACCUCGAAACAUUCCACUACACGCAACGAGCCAGACACAAAAGGACGAACACCAUGGGAUGCCACCAACCGGAGGCACCUCGAAAGGGCAAAGUCCCAGACCCGGCAGAGGAGCAACGAGGCUCCCCGGGGUGGGGACCGGGAAUGGGGAGUGGCUGCCUAAUGGGUAAAAGCAGUUUCUGCUUGGGGUACUAAACACCUCUUUGGAAAUGGUGGUGACAGCUGUACAACCCUGUGACUGUAAUUAAUGCCACCAACUCAUAUACUUAAGCGUGGGGGAAAGGGGGAGUUCCCUGGUGGCACAGAGGGUUAAGGAUCUGGCAUCGUCACUGUAGUGGCUGAGGUCGCUGCUGUGACGUGGGUUCCCUCCCUGGCCCAGGAACAUCCACGUGCCGCCGCUGCAGCCAAAUGAAAGGGUUUCUUUCUUUCUUUCUUUUUAAGAGGAGGGCAAAGCAGGCUGGAUGGCAGAGCCGGGGGCUGUCACAGCCUCAGGAGGCCCCACUCCACCCCUCAAACGCAGGGUCCCAGAGGGUUGGGGAUGGAGCCAGGCGGACCUCUGGGGAAGCCCCUCAGCCCAGCAGAGGAGGAGCAGGGGGCAGGGCCUGGCAGAGGCGGCACCUCCUUGCUGCAGCUCAGCCACUAGAAAAGCUGCAUCGAGGCAAACUGAAAGCACUGCCAAAACCCACACAGAAUCAAACGGCGACCGAGAAAGCAAACAAGAAAAUACCCAGAAAGCACAGUCGCCUCCAGCCUCCAAAGGGCUCGGCGGUGACGUCACCAGGACAACUUCCUCUGGGGUCCUGGGCAAGAGACCCCCAGUGAGAGGGACAGAGGACAGUGGACUGUGAUUCCGGACGCAGACGUGAUCAGAACCUGAGGUCCCUGAGCCACACGGCCGCCACCACAGCUGGAGCCUGAGCAACACGCAGCCCGCAGCCAGGCCAGCCGCGGGUCCCUGCCCCUGACCUGGCGACGGACAAGAGCGGGCUCAGGAGCGCUGCCCAGGGCUGGAGAACAGGUAACGGACGCAGUCAAGGGCACACGGCCCCACACGGCCGAGGGGCCCAGGACCGCCCCGUCCCCUGGGAGGGACAGCGACCAGGCCUGCUCCUGCUGGAGCACACUCCUCGGGGACAAAUCACAGUGACCCUGACACCUCCCCCCCUCCUCCCAGCCCCCCGCUGGGAUGUUUGGGAGUCUGAUCCUCAGACUCUUAGAAGGUAACAGACAUAUACACACUAUUACGUGUAAAAUAAACAACCAGGCCCCACUGCAGAGCACAGGGAGCCAGACUCAGUCCUUUGUAAUGACUGACAACGGAAAAGAAUCCGAAACGGAACAGACGUACACACAUGAACAACGGAAUCACUUUGCCGAAACUAACACAACAUCGCAAAACAACUAUACUUCAGUUUUUCUGAAAAAAGGAAAAAUCUUUUAAAAUGUGUGGGAAUGGUCACAUGUGGGAUUUCAAUUUUAAAGGUGGGAACCCCUGCCACCGUGGUCCUUCUCCAGCUUCUUCCUCACGGAUGCUGCCUCGCCGAACCCCAGCCAGCGCCCCGCAAGGUACACGCCCCCGGCCCCAUUGUGCAGAUGGAGGAAACUGAGGCCAAGAGCUAGCAAACCACUUUCUGGAGCUGAGGAAAAAGGAGCGAGCGACCUGCGGGCCAGCUCUUUGCGUCCUCGCCCGCCUGCACCUGCCUCUGCGUGUCAGCAGCGCCUGGACCCACAUGGUCCCCGGGGCGCCCACAGAGCAGACGGGCCACUGCGUCCUGAGCAAACGUGUCCCGGGCCCGCAGAGGAAGAGCUACAUGCAGCCCCUCGCUCCCACUGGAGCCCCAAUUUGAGUGUGUUAAGGGACUGUCCCCCAGGCCUCAUAAGCCACAAAUGUCCCGCUCCUCCCAGGACUUCUGUGAUCAAACAUGGCACUGGGUCCACCCCGGGGCCCCUCCUCCCUGGAGGCAGCACUGCCCCUCAGCUCGUCCCCUGGCCCUUCGCCAUCAGCUCUCCGGUCUCCAAGGCAAACCCGUCCACCUCCUGGGCCCGGCUUUAAACAGCCUCCACUGUCCAAACCCCACCGGACGAGCAGCCACCAGCCCGUGUGUCUGUGCCUGCAGAGAGCAGACCCCAAGCAAGGUCAGGCCCGAGAGGGAGCGGCCGAGCGCUGCUCCCCAAGGCUGGAGCUGCUACGGCCUGGAUGCACCUCGAAAGCACUGCGCCAAACAAGACGCCAGACGCCAGCCAGGACAGGCAACACAUCCUACGACUGAUUCCCUGAACGGGAAGGGUCCAGACAGGCAAUGCCGCAGACACAGAAAGCACACCGACGGCCGCCUGGGCUGGGACCAGGGGAUGGACGGCAAGAGAACUGCUCAGUGAGUAGGGGCUUCAUCCUGGGGGCACGGAAACCUUCUGUGUCGCGAUAGGAGUGGCACCAGCCCCCCAGUGUGAAUGUACUGAGAGCCACUGAACUGGAUUCUUUAAAAUGGUUAAUUUUGGUGUUAUGUGAUUUUCACCUCAAUUUAAAAAAAAAAAAAAAAGGGUCAAUCCAGCACCUUUCCCCUAGGA